RNAcentral lists this long non-coding RNA (611 nucleotides) under Homo sapiens (human). RNAcentral describes it as "non-protein coding lnc-ESM1-3:1". Lineage: Eukaryota; Metazoa; Chordata; Mammalia; Primates; Hominidae. The record is from RNAcentral.
UGGGAUCACACUGUGCAGUCCUGGGGGUUAGGACCUGAACUUUUCUUUUUUGAGAGACAUAAUUCAACCCAUCAUGGAGUCUAUGAUUUUUUUUUAGUUAUAAAUAGAAUAUAUGUUCACUGUAAACAUUAAAUAAUACUGAUGUGUCUACAGUUAACAUCAGUAAAAUUUUCAAAUUAGGUUAAAAGAAAAAUUGGGGAGAUAGGAGGGCACUCUAUAUUUAUAUUCUGUAUUCCUGAGUCAAGAAAAAGGAGCGUGAGAUUUAACAGCACUUGGCUAAAACAAUUAAGUCACAGCCUAUCUUCUUGUGGUCAACAUUUUCUUUUCCGUGGAACUCAGAAAGGGGGCAGGUGUUCUGUGGUAUGGUCCUCAUGGUAUAGCACAUAGUUGAGACAAGCUUAGGAGGAGGACCUCAUGAGAAAGUGAGGACUCGUGGGACUCAUGGGCUCCUGCCAGUGGUGGAUUUGGGAGAGCAGGAUUGAGUUAAUUUGAUCCAGAUCUCCAAGGGCCAGGGACUCAGUACACAACUUUUGAGUAAUAAAGAUGAUGGAAAGUAAGAUAUUAUUUGGUAAAAUCUGCAUGACGUCCCAAACAGUAGGAUCCAGAAUACA